GAGAAACAGAACGAAUUCUUUGGUCAUAUAUAUAUUAUAAAAAACAGAGUGUAAAAUUGUUCCAUUCACAGAUUGGUUUGUAGGAAACGACUUGAAAGCAAAGAUGCAUUUUUGGAUUGCUUUAACUCUUGUAGUUGGCUUCUGUAUGAUUAAUCAAAUAAAAGCUGAUUGUCCCCCUAACGCUAAAGCUGAUAUCGUAUUUCUGAUUGAUUCAUCAACUUCAAUGAUGGGAACACCAUUGGUCAUGUUAAGAACGUUUCUUCGCGAAAUGAUCGGUCAAUGGACGAUUUCAAGCCAAUUCGUCAAUGUUGCAAUUGUACCAUAUCAUACUGAGAUAGCAUUUGAUGACGUUAUUUUUCUUUCUCAAUUUGCAAACGAUAAAGACGGUCUGCUCGCAUCAUUGGAAGUGAUAACAAACAAUAGAUCAGGAUCUUUGACCGGAAACGCACUAGAAUAUGCGCGUACCGUUGUGUUGUCUGCUGAAAACGGAAAUCGACCAGAUGCGCCUGAUAUUGUUAUUGUUAUGACCGACGGACGAGGACAAGACUCCAUUGAUGUGCCAUUACAGAGGCUCUGGGCAGCUGGGGCAACCACGUACGCUGUUGGCUGUAAGCCAAAACGAAGAUUAUCAAUGUUGACUCCUCAAUUGAUGAAAAUAGCUCAGAAUAAUUCAGAAAGAAUGCAUUCGACAGAUCGAUCUUCAAUGGGAAAUAUUGAUGUGAUGAUGCGUGAUAUGAAGAAUGUGUAUUGCCCUCCGGACGAAACUUGCACGCCACCAAGAAGAAGCUUGAAAAAUGGAGUUGUAAGAUGCACUGAUGAAAAUCGAGUGUCAUCUGUCUGUACAUUUGAAUGUGAUGCUGGGUACACUGUUUAUCCUAGAAAACGUGCAACAAACAGAUGCCUACCUUCAAAAAAUUGGGAUCGACAGGCACCUUGUUGUACAAAACCUUGUCCUCCUAAUGCAAAAAUGGAUGCAUUUAUAAUACUUGAUUCAUCCUCAUCGGUUGGCGAGAAGAAUUGGAGUAUAAUAAAGAGCUUUAUUCACAACAUUAUUAGGUCUUUUAUAAUUUCUGACGAUGCUACACAUUUUGCCGUUGUUCGCUACAGCAGUUUUGUCGACAAUACAACACAGGUUCUGUUGAAUGAUUAUCCAAAUGAUAUAGACGGACUUUUGUCGGCAUUUGACGCCAUACCAUAUGAUGGUUCUGGCAGGAAGACAGGCCAAGCGAUUCAGCACGUUGUAGAUAAUAUGGUUCCGGUCGGUAAUCGACCUGAUGUGCAGGAUAUUGCUUUUGUCGUCACAGGUGGAAAAUCACAAGACAAUGUACUGGAACAGUCUAAACAACUAAGAGAUCUGGGAGCAUUGGUCUUUGUCAUCGGCUUUACUCCAUUAAAAGGUAAACUUGAUAUGGAACAACUUCUGGAAAUAGCUGGAGAUCCAGACAAUGUCCUAAUUCCUGAUGAGGCAUUUUUCGGUUGGGAGAUCACAGAUAAAGUGUGCGGACACCCAUGCGGUGACUGAAAUGAACCAAUGAACCUUUCUCAGAACAAUAAUGGUUAGAGAUCGCAACUGGUUCAGUUCUGAUAUGAAUUUAUAUGGACGGAAGCCUUAGGACUCUUACGAUCGAUCCCAAACCAACACCAUUAGGCAGGAAAUACCAGCAUAUAUAUUAUUCAUUCCACACUUUCGUCAUCCCUGUCCAUCGCAAUAUUCGCUUCUCUGGUAUUAUCUCGGUCAUUUCGUUUGCUUUCCAUUUUCUCCCGACUUUCUUUUUUGACCGUUUACGCUACCCUGCGAUAUACUGCUGCUCUUCGAGAUCUCAUCGAAUUCCCUUUUGGUGCACAUUCUCUGCCCUUUGUACUCUGUCCUCCCCUGAUAACUAAUAAUAUGUAUCAUUGAGUCAGUUAAUGUAUGAAUUUUUCAAAAUCCAAGUACCUUCUAAUUCAGUCUGAUAUAAAUCUUCUUCUCAAUAUUUACUUCAAUUAAUGCUACUUUACUUAUAAUAAUCAAAGUAUAAUAAAAUACUCCAAUUAAAAUCAAUAGAAAAAAAGGUAAAAAUGAAAUAAAAAUAAUAAAUACCACGUAUCACAAUGUAAGAAACAAUAUAUACAAUGAAACUUGUACUUGAAAUCUGAAGCCAAGCAUAAAAUCGCAUGCAACUCGCAAAUAUCGGACAAUAACUCUAAAAUCCGGUACAUUAUAAUUAACAAACUGAUCAAUUAUCUGCAAACUGAGCUGAAAACAGCUCAAUGCGAGAUUUGGAACACACAAUAAACAGUCCUCUAGAUCAGCGUUUCCCAAACUUUUUGACCACGGAACACUUACGCUUUUUAUCUCGCCUCGCGGAACACCAAAAAAUGAAAGGGUAAAAAUGGUGCAAUUCAGCGGUUCCCAAAGGGUGUGCCGCGACGCACUAAAGUCGUCAAAUGCACUGCGAAAACUAACAAAAUUGUGUUAAAUAUAACUAAAAUAUGAAUGUUUUACAUAUUGCAAAUGCUCUGUAUAUGAAUCAAUAUACCGGUAUUCAUUUUUCCUUUCUAUGUCGUUCACUUUCUAUUACAUAAUGCCUUUGAUGUUACGUAAAAAGGGAGAUAGAAGUUCUUGCUGCAAUUUCGCGAGCUGCAGACCUGCAGUUUAUUUAUCUGCUGAAUCAAGUUUAGCGAACAUGAGUAAAUUUUUCAGCAUUUCAAAGUAAAAUCAGGCAGAGAUGGGGGGGCGAAGAGCUGAUCAUUUACCUUUACAUGUUUGCCUAUAGCAUUGGUUCACAAACUUGGGUCCGCGGUCGCUUAAGGCACCGCGAGACAACUUUAACCUCGGCGCAGAAGCACUUUGAUUUGAAGUAAAAUUUUGAAAACAAAAACCACAGUCUUAUCCUGAUGUCGCUGAGUAGGGACUGAAAAUGAUCAUUCCAUUUGCAACAACUUACGAAUGUGAGGCAGCUUUUUCUUCAUUACUCGCUAUUGAAACAGAAUGGACGUGAGUUACGAUAUGAAAGUUGCAUUAUCCAAAACAGAACCCAAGAUAGCAGAACUGGAGCCAAGCAAGAGCACCCAUCUCAUUGAACUGUGUCAAUGUCAUUCAAUAUAUUAAUGCUUGAUAUACCGCGUUGCUGUUUGCUUCCAUUUCUUUAGUGGACGCGAGUCAUCAGAAAAAUUGUACGGCGGCGGUUAUGCAUGACUUUUUAAAAAGUUUGAGAAACACUGGCCUAUAGUAAAUAGCAAAACCAAAAUGAUUAGUGUCAACUUGAUAAUGAACUAGAACUAGACAGUAAACAAGCUAGGCGGACCGUUAACGAUAAUAUCAUAAUACCCCUCGAAAAGUUAGGCCGACGGUGACGCGAUAUUGAACGGUCGCCAACUUCGCGAUCGCGAUGGCGACCAAUCUAGUCGUAAUUUUGAUCCAUUUUCCACGGAACAGUCGGAAGACGCUCACGGAACACUAGUGUUCCGCGGAACACAGUUUGGGAAAUGCUGCUCUAGAAAGCACUGACCAUAACUAAUUUCGUAGUAAAACCUAGACUAAACCACAUGUAGCCUACACCUAAACUUAAAACAACUGUAAUCUAACUAUACUCUGUCAUCCUGAUGACUUACAACAAAAUAUCUAAGCCUAUUAUCAUAAACUCAUGACCAUAAAAUAUAAACACACUUGGUCCCCUACGAAAUUAAGCAACAAUUUUACAGAUAUGAAAGAUUUCUCGGAAGAAAAAAUGACCAUUGAAUCACAAUAUAUAUAUCUAACUUUUGGAAACGAACAACAAGCAAAUACGGUAAAAAGAUGGAAGAGUCAUGAAAGCGAGCCAAGGUGCCAAUGCCUGAUAUUACGCUUAAGCAAAUGUGUCUGAAGGGCUGCUAAAAUUUGAAUUAUUACGCCCUCACCCAUUGACAAAUAGGUCUUGAAGUGAUGGUAUAUAGUUUUCGCUGCCAGUAUAUUUUCAAACAAGAUACAUAAAUAUGAUGAUAAUCAGGAAAAUAAGUCUGCUUUCGUCAAAAAACCCAAUAUAAUGCAACUUGUGUAAUCACAGGUUUUUCACAAAUUUGACGGAGUCGUAGAUCAUUGAACUAGGCUACUUUAUUAUUAUUAUUAUUCAUAUUUAAAUGAUUUAUUUCAGUUUUAUAUUAGAAGUCAAAUAUACAUUACUGUGAUCUUUUUCAGUUCUGUAGGGUUUUGUGUUCUGCAAAUGCAUUACCUUACAUAGGCGUGCAACAUACGCCCUCGGUCCCUUUUUACGUGGCCCGCUACAGACUUCAUAGCCUAUUAAUUUAAAAACUUUUUCUGAAUUGUAACGGCAUCAUUGGCAUUCGAUUGAAUUCAGUCUACAGUACUGUGACGACCCCCAUUGUUGCAGCAUAAUAUGUAUUGUAUGAAAACCGCCUUGUUCUGGCAGUGGUACGUGAUCUUACUUUAUGGUUGCAGGUUAUUAUACGAAAAAGCCUAAGUUCAAAUGUCUACCAGUAAGAAAAGGAAAGUUGAUUAUCUCAUUAAUCAUCAACACAAUGAAUAAAUUGAUUGUACGUGCUCUUCCAUUGAAUAAAUUAUUCAUAAAAAAUUACGAGUUGUUCGAUGGUCUGCCCCCCCGGUAUCACUAUACUUGUAGUUUGUGGCCUAUUGCGCUAAUAAACACUUGCAUGCCCCUGCAUUACAACAAUGACAUUAAACAACAAACAGCGAUUACUCAGGAAACCUUUUUUGUUAUUGUGUCGAAUCUGGCAACGGGUAUUGCCGCUUCUGUGACGCGCGAUUUUCAAACGAUCGGUAUUUGUCAUAACAUUCAGUGAUUCUGACAUUGAUUCAACUCUUUCGAAGCUAAUCUAGAGCAAGUGGAAGUAGGCUAUAGCGACAUUGUGCCAUUAAUAUAUAACCAUGAGCUCGACGGCGGCAGAUUUUAUAUUUUAGAAAGAUUGGAAAGACUGAAUGCCUAUUUAAUAUCGAAAGGACUUCCUCC
Molecule: non-coding RNA, 4946 nt
Organism: Styela clava
Lineage: Eukaryota; Metazoa; Chordata; Ascidiacea; Stolidobranchia; Styelidae
Source: RefSeq, a predicted model, not a curated record